RNAcentral lists this long non-coding RNA (1904 nucleotides) under Mus musculus (house mouse). Its description in RNAcentral is "long non-coding RNA chr9:100778788-100780692". Lineage: Eukaryota; Metazoa; Chordata; Mammalia; Rodentia; Muridae. The record is from RNAcentral.
GAUUGAAAUCAAAGGUUUGUUUCAAUUUUUAGUAUAGUAACAUAUAUUUUAAUCCAAUCUGUGAAUUUAUGAAUGGAGCUGCCAUACUUUGCAGUCAUUAGUAUCACCUAAUUAUUAAAAAUUAUUAAUGCUGAGGUAUCACUCAGAUAUUUUAGACCAGUAGUUUUCAACAUGCAGGCUGUGACCCAUUUGGAGUUUGCAUAUGAAAUAUUUACAUCAUGAUAUAUAACUAGAAAAAUUGCAGUUUUUAAAGGAGCAAAUAAAUAGUCUUAUGGUUGGGGGUCAACACAACUUUAGAAACUGCAUUAAAUUGUUUCAACAUUGAGAAGGUUGAGAAUCACUGCUCUAGACAUUUUGAUUGACAUGAAAAGUUUAUAAUGUGUGUGUAAAAUACCCCAGUCAUAUUCCUGAUAAUGCUAAUAUGUAAUGAAAUUUGACAGCUACUGGUGUAAGAGAAGAACAAUAAAUUAGAAAGCUGUUAUUAAUACUAUACAGAUACAAGUAUAAAAUAAAAGGAAUUCAAAGAUAAAUGAAAUUAUUUAUUACAAAAGGAAUCAUUAGACAACUAGUGCAUAGCUAAAAAGAGAUUCUCUGACCCACUGGUCAUUUUAAGCUUUUAAUCUUUAAAUUAUGUUGGCUUUUAUCUUGUGUUUGAUUUUACUGAUGCCUUAUCAUGGAAUCCAGUUGUUAGCCUCAGUGAUUUGCCUUUCUAGUGCCCAAGAUCUGGGAUUACAAGCGUGUAUUACCAUCCCCAACUGUUUGCAUUUGUGUUUCAGGGGGGAAAUCAGGUCUACAUGCUUGAUGGGCAUGCGUUCUAUCAGCUGAGCUAUUUUCUUAAUUACUGGAUUUAAUUUGCACAUAAAUCAGUAUGCUUUGGAUUAUAGUGUCCAGUGUGGCCUAAGGUUCAAAAAUUGGAUUUCCUACAUAAAUUGUUUUGACCAUACAUAAAAUGUGACCAUCUCUUAUAUGUUGCAGUCUGAGACAUUCUUAAACAUAAAAUUUGCUGUUUAUGGGUGUCUUGACACAGAUCUUUAGUUUCAGCUCUUGGAAAGUAAAGAUAGGCUGAUUUUCAUGAAUUCAUGGCCAUUCUAAUCUAGAAAGAGAGUUGUCGGCCAUCCAGCGGUAUAUAAUAAGACCAUUUCUCAAAAAACAAAACCCACAAAUUUUCCUUUUUACGGGCAAAGUUACUUUUUUGUCUCCUAUCAGAGAUAAGCUGUCCACUCAAUCAUGAUGUCCACUGAUAUCAGAUUGGUUCUUUGGUUGUUUGAUUAUAGCUUAUAUAGAUAAUUUUAUUACUUCAAUAAAAUUAUUCUUUUUUUCAUCACCAGUGUUACUUAAAGUCACUCUGUUUUCCUUCUCUUUUUGCUUUGAGUUUAGUAAUGCUAGAAGUCCCUUUCCUUGAUCCUUUUAUUUUUAACCUGUCUACUUUCUUUGUAUUGCAGUAAUACAUCUUUGUCUUUUUAUAUUGAGAAUAUGACUUAUGCUAGAUAGAUUGCUUAGCAUACAUGAGUCCUAUUUUUUAGUCCCUAGGUCUGACUAAAAAGAAAAGAGAACUAAAUCUUGCUUCUGUUUAAAAUAUUUUUUCCUUCGAAUUCUGAAGUUUGACUUUUUUGAACUUUUUUGUAAUUAACUGGGUUGUUUGUUUGCCUUCUUUCUUCUGGUUAUUUUAGUAUUUUCUGUUUCAGCUUAUGCAGCCUAAAAUAGUGUUACUAUCCUAUGAUUAUGCCUUUGUUUAUAGGGUUUUCCUAACUUUGUUGUUCUCUGAAAUAUUAUCCCCAUUGUUUGUUCCCAGUUCUGCCUUCAGAGUUGAUAAUCUCUUUUAAUUACUACAUUCCCUUGUAAUGUUAUUUACUAACUCACUUAUGUUUGUCCUCAUCUCUUUGUUUAAAUUAGAAAUUCUUUGC